Non-coding RNA from Anas platyrhynchos (mallard), 6700 nucleotides. Lineage: Eukaryota; Metazoa; Chordata; Aves; Anseriformes; Anatidae. The record is from RefSeq and is a predicted model, not a curated record.
UGCCACCAGCCAGUACUGCCCGACUGGAGCCAGCUCUGCUGUGACCCAAAAUGCUACAUAAUGCAACUGACAGCUUCGGGCAAGCUGAGACAGCAAAUAUAACAGUCUGUGCUAGGGUAUUGUUCUCUCAACAUCCCACUGCCCUCACUGCUGCAGCCUGGAGGCCUUCAGAGUUGUGGAUAUUUCACACACCUGAAACUAAUGAUGAAAAGACAACAUCUAAGGCCCUUUUAUGAGAAUCCCACCUUCAUCAAGAGGACAGUGCAGUGGGAGGGGGAGUAGGGGAGGUAAAUGGUUUUCCUUUCUCCCAUAUCUGCAGAGGAGUAGAGAUGAGGAGCAGAGGUAAAAGGAACAAAUGAGUGACCCCUUGUUCCUUCUUAAGAAAGAAAUAUUUAGGCUCCUAUCUUCAGAGAUCUGGGUUAUGAUUCCUGUGUGGAUGGAUAAGAAUGGCAAAAAUCAAGGCAUAGUACCAGAGGAGAUGGAAAAGGAACAGAAGGCCCUGUCCUGGAAGCACUGAGUUCUCCAGUGAUCUGGGAAUCAGACUGCCUGGUUUGCUUAUUGAAUCUAGGCAUAAUCCCCAUGUGCAAAAAUGGAGGGUCACUGGGGCUAUGGCUAAACUGGAGAGCUCAGGGUACUUCAUAGCUACCAGAGAUCUUCUGCCUAACUGAGCUUCUCUGCAGUGGAAUAUGCCUACGCAGUGCACAACAGUAUUCUUACUGAGUCGCAUCACAUUUUUUUAAAGUCGGUUCUUCAUUUUGUGUAGAUAAAUCAGAAUUUCCAUUCAACCCACCCCAUCCUUGACUUCAGCUUUCUUGUGCCUUCCCAAUUCUUUCCCACUCCAGCACCACUUUGAGUUACAGAGACAUUGCUCACUUUGUCAUUGAGAUCAUACAUGGAACAUCUGUAUUUCCAGCAGAGAUUUCUCUGAAAUGCCCCCUGAGAUUUCCAACUUGGCAAUUAAUCAUUGAUAAUUAGUCUUUAAGCAGAUUUACAUGAAAAAAUUAAGCAUGCCAAUGAAUGAUCCUAGUAUCAUGAGUCUACCCCUUGUGCUGUUUAUAGCCUGUCAAAACUAUGACAGUUGUGAUUUUGGUCCAAGCCAACCAGCACUUUAAAUGUUUGAGCAUGGGUGAGGUUGAUGUGGACCAGGAACCACUUACGCUAGGCAAUAAGCACCUUAGGUGUGGCCAGCAUGUUAUGAAGGGGAAGGAAGUCAAGCAAUGUGGACAUAGAAUGGCCUCUGCCAAAGAGUGGGUCUAAGCAUAGCUGAGUUCACAUGUAGACCUGAAUUGUCUGGGUACAGAUUUUGCAUAGCACUUGCAGUACUUAUUUACAGUAUGUUCUUUCUGUAUUUAUUUUUAGUUUAUUUAUGAAAAUAUGAUGUAGAACAGUGCCAUGAAGUGUGUGAAUGUUAAGAUACACACCACUGACUGCAUUCUGUCUAUCUAUAAGGCCCAAAUUCCUUUUGUAGGAGAAAAUUAAGUAGAUUUGCAGAACACUAUUGACUGUGAUUCAUCUCCUAGCUAUUUUCUAAAUAUUUUCAAAUAACAUGUUUUACUCUGCUAAUACUGAACUGAGGUUGGGCUGACUGACCUCUAAUCCUCUGACUCCCAUUUGAUGAAGGCAACCAUUGAUUUGUCCUUUGCAAGCCUUUUGGCACCUCACCUAUCCUCCAUGACCUCUUCAAAAUGACAGCUUUGAAAUGGCAUCAGAGUAAAUGUCACCAAACCAAAUGUUAUCUCUGCUCCUUCAUCUGCUAUUUCCCUGUCCUAGACUGGAUUCUUGUUCUCCUCUCACUAACAGUAGCAAUGUCAUUCCUUUGAUCUUCUCAGUGUUUCUGUAAGCUUUCUUUUUCCACCAAGCAGGGAACCAUUUCUUGAAAGGUGUCCAGGUACCACCUUGAAAUGAUAUACAGUUUUUUAUGUAUUCUGUUGAGCAGCAGAAAAAUUAAGGCAUUCAUAGGUCUAUGAUCUCAGAAUAAAAUCUGCAUUUUAGUAGUUGCUAUGUGUGAGACAUACGAGAAAAAGUGGGAAUGAGUAAUGUCAAAAUGUUAAAGCCUGUUUUGUUUGCCACAGUGAUUCUUUUACCUUUAGGAGCCGUUACACUGUUUAAUUUAGAUAGAAAAGAAUGAACUAUGCAUGCACACAUGGUAAAGUGUACAGAAGACCACUUUAUCAUUUGUCAAAACCUGUGCUGAAUAAUUUGAGACAGUGUUAUCCAGAUUUUCUUUUUUUUGAGGAGUGAUAUGAGUGACUAACUUGGUAAUGGAAUUGGCAGAGACUAUGUUGGCUAAGUGCUUGGACUAAGAGCUUUGAUGUAAUAAAGCUGCGCUUUCAAGGCCUUUUCUGCAGGGUUUUGGACAGCCAGGAGAUCUAGCGAUUACUGUUCCAUUAUAUCAAUCCCAGUGGGUAUUGCAUGCUGAUCCCCACCAAGUCAGUCAAAGCAACUUGGAGCUGAUGAGGGAACAUGACCUGCAAGAGAAAACACAACAAGUUUACUGGCGAGGCAUUUUUAUGUGGAACAGUCUGGAUGAAUUUGGUGGCUGUUUAGAGAGCUGAGCCAGUGUUGGAACCAGAGGACAGGGGCAUGUAUGCAUCCAGCAUUGACCUUGAAUCAAAACAAGUGAGGAAGAAUGAAGAAUGAAUGGGAUGUACAUGCUGUGGAGCUGCAUUCUUAUGGGUCUCAUUCGUCUGGACAGCCUGGUUGACUGAAUGUUGACCUAUGGCCACCUUUGUGAUUAUCAAUGCUGUUGUUUGCACAUGUGUGCAAAUUGUGUUUUUAAAGCUCUGUAUGCUCUAUCUUUAUUUAACAUUAUGCUUUCACCUGGUACUAUUUAUCUGUGUAUAAUACACUUGUAUUGUAUUUAGUCUGUUUAUUUAUUUAAUUAUUUUAAAGAAUGGUUGCUGUAUGAGAACCUGGCAGGCAAAUCUGGUUUAUUUUAUAAAUACAACAUUUCCUUUAAUUCAUUCACAUUGUUGAUUCAAUAUGGUUUGCUUUCCAAAUCAAAUGGCAGAAACUGAAUUAAAAAUAACAGAAAUCUUGACAGGUUUCCCCUCAUCUUAUGACCCUUUGAUACAUUAACAUUAUACUCCCUAAAGGGGUGUUAUGUCUUCCAUGUUUGUCUUCAACAAUGCAAGUUACUCACUGUCUUGUCUUACUUAUGGACUAAAUGGCACUAGGUAGCACUAUGAUCAGAAUUAUUUUAAUGGUAAAUGAAAUCAGAGCAGGCUCUAGAAAAUACGUGAACAAUUUUGCUGUUAGGAUUGAUGGUAAUCAAAGAUUUUCUGAUUUUUCUGUUAUUCUGUCCAUUAUUUCAUAUGUUUCUGAUGUUGUUUUUAGAAUUUCAAUGACCACAGCUCUAACUGCACUGGAUAGAUUAUACACAUAAAGUUUCCACAUUGUGCAUAUGGUAGAUGUGACAAAACCUUGAUUUUGGAGAGGGCAAAAUGAACACUAUGAAUUUGUAGAAAUUUUAUUAUUGAAUCAUUCUGUUAAGCUUAAGAAAUGUGCUAAUAAAUUGCUCAAAAAAGGAAGUGUACACAUCAGUACCUGGGACUCAUUGCAACAAAUUUGCUAAAUUGCAUCUCUCGCUGUUGUUAACAUGUUUUUAGUUUGUCAUGUGUACAGAACAACCCCACAUCAAAUUUGGCCUGUAACUUAUUUAUCCACAUUAAUGUUAAUGUGUGUAUAUGUAGAGCUACAUAGUCUUUGUCUACAGCUAUUUCUGGAAGGAGAUAACUUUCCCCUGUGCUAAAACUGAAAGAACAAUGUAUGUAUGUCUUUCUACAGAAGAAGAUUGUUAGUGCUGUAUUUCAGCUUCCUUGCUUUUUUCAGUAUGGUAUGAUAUUGUAAUACUCAAAAAUAUUCCUGUAUAUUUUACAUUCUAGCUCAUAAAUCACCUUUGAUUGUUACCCAAACAUUUCCUAAUAAGGAUGCAUAAUUUUGGAUUAACAUUGUCCAAUGAUGUUUUGGGCUUGUAUCAGCAAUGCUAAACAGUUACAACAGAAACUGCAUUUCAGAUAUCAUUCUCAGUAAGACAAAGGCAAUUUCUAUUACUUGCAUGUAGACUUUCUACUAAUGUGAUCCAUGUAUAGAAAAUAAACAGCUGGAUGUGCUCAAUAUUAUAAACCUGUUUCUCUGAGAGCUACUUAUUUUUCUCCUAGUGUGUGCUGUUUUGUGUAGCCCAAGUAACUGAAAAGAUAGUGGAAAGUUUGUGAACAGAAGCACCUGUUCCCUGAGACUCAGGUGUUACUCAUUUGCAUGGACAAUCUCUGAAUCCUUGAAAGAAAUACAUGGCAGCAGUGAAAUGCUGCACUUCUUUUAACUAAGAAAGCUAUAUAAAGUUCAGGGACUGUAUAAAAAUGUUCUGAUCAUCUCCAGCUCACUGUACAAUGCCUCAUUUAAUAUGGGAAGCCUCUAAACACAAAAAAAAGGGGAUUGGUAUGCUUUUGUAUCCAGGAACAAGAACCAGCAGAAAGGAACCUGACAUUGCUACCUGGACCCUUAGUGUCUGGAACCUUAGUAGAGAUGGCCUGAUGUUGUUGGUUAUGCUGGUGUUUGUGAUGGCAGACAGGCAGGUCCAGACCACAGGCACUUGUGGUGCAGAUAAACCAUUCAUUUCACUGUCCUUAAAAAAUUCACACAUACGAUUAUGCUAAGUGGAAGGGGAGACUUCAGGCUGAAGGAACUGGGAAGUUAAAGCUCACUGUUUGUACCCAGUGUGGAUUUAGCAUAUGAUGGACAACUGAACUGCCAACUGCCAACACUCUCAAGACCAGUUUUAUCUUCCAUUCCAAGUGUAAACAUUUGAACAUGUACUAAAAGGUCCAGCUGAAACACUUGCCACUUUGAGAAGGAGAGUUCAAGGAUGCCUGAUAAACAUGUUGGCAGCCAAAGCUCUUGCUCAGGCAGUUUGGAUGCACUAUGUUCAAUGCAAAGUUACUGCAGUCCAGUAUAUCAGUAAGUGCUCUGUGGGUCAGUCUUCCUGGUAGAUGUGUCUGGUAGAUGUUUUUGAUGCUGGAGCCAGAAUAUGGAUGAGUUUCAGGCAUCACCGAGGUUGGUAGAUAUAAGCCUUAGCUUCACAAGACAGACAUGACCUCAGGAUGCUCAAGUAUCAGGAAUUCUAAAAAAAUUUGGGGUGUGGGGAAAAAAAAGAAAUACGGAAGAAAUCCAAGUUACUUCUGAGAAGCUACUAUGAAAUGUAAAUCCAUGUCUUUCUUGUCUCCUUAUUGAUCAUUAGUAAAUUUGUAUUUUGGAGAUGAAAGAUGAAUAGAAAUGUACUUAAUUUUCCAGUGUCUAAAUGUCUGUUUGUCUGUACUUCAAAUUCAGCACAAAAAUGAGUAGCUAUGGCAAUUUCUAUUACAAAGCACAUGAGUUUUGUGUCAUAAUAACAUUCCCUUUCAUUCAGUAUCUAGUCUUUGCCAGAGGCCAAUGAUAGGUGCUAGAGAGAAUAAAUACAUGAAGUGGACGAUGACAUUUCUCAGAAUAAUCUGGUCUCCAAAAGUGUACAACUUCUCCAAUUAAGGCAAUUUAAUAGUCCCUGAAAUAGUUCUCUUAUGAAUGUGUGCAAUUGCUUUUAGGUUUUCAACAUUCUGUUGAAAUGAGUUCUAGAGGUUAAGUGGAUAUUGUGUAAAGAAUACCUCUUUUUGUUCACUCAAAACUUGUUAUUUGCUGAUUUCCUAUGACAGCCCUCAUUUCCCGUAUUGUGGGAGAGUUCAGAGGCCAAGUGCUGGAACAGCAAAGAAGUUUUAGACUCAGGACCCCUUAUGCAGUCUAAAUAAAAGCCUAGUUAUAUGCCUUUGCCAAAUGUGAGAACAUGUAAACAUGAAGAUUUUUGAAUCCAGGACCUAGUUUUUGCAUUUUCCAUCAAUUUCUAAGUAAAACAGUCCCCAAAGCACAUCUUGGGAUGCCUCCCAUGAGCUGCUCUGAGGAGCUGUGUUGGGUGGUCAUCCUUGUCCUGAUCUCCCACCACCAUAAGAGGAACUUCAGAGUGCAGAACUCAUGCAGGAUAGCCAAUGCAAACCUGUCCUAUGGGUUGGAGAUAAUUUCCCUCAAAGCAUUUGAAAUAACAGACACAGCUGGUGAUCAUUUUCUUUUCCAAACAAACAUUACAACCUGAUCUGGCUCUUCUGAUACUUUACAAAUCCAUUUUCUUCAAAAAUUCAUCCAAAGUAAUGUGUUAGAGAUCUUAAAAGCACUGUGACUAAAAGGGCUCUAGGGAAACAAGAUGAACUGAUUAGACAUUUUUUUGUAGUUUGAUAAUUUGGCAACUCUUAUUCUCAUAUUUUUGGUACAUCUCAAGCUAAAGUAUUCAUUACUCUAUAAAUAGCUUGUCAGCUAAAGAAGCAGAGUGACAGACAUACAUUAUUUGGUUGCCCUGAUGUAAAAGAUGUGCUCUAUUCUUACUCCUACAGGGUAUUGUUCCGUACGCAUAGCUUUUGAGGGACGGUCUAAUGACUGCCUCUGUUUAUUUAUUCAUCUCAGGAUCCCUCAGACAUCAACAACUACAAGCAGCAGUUGCACAUAUUGAGUGCUUCUCUGUACAAAUGCAGUUGAUCAAAGAAUCACACAGAAUAACAGCAUGGCUGAGGUUGGAAGGGACCUCUGAAGAUCAUCUAGUCCAAUGCCCCUGCUGAGCAGGAUCACCUACAACAUGUUGCAUAGGAUGGUAUCCAGGUGGGUUUUGAACAUCUCCAGAGAAGGA